UACGGGGGGGGUAAGCGUUGUUCGGAAUUACUGGGCGGAAAGGGCUCGUAGGCGGCCAACUAAGUCAGACGUGAAAUCCCUCAGCUUAACUGGGGAACUGCGUCUGAUACUGGAUGGCUUGGAUUCGGGAGAGGAAUGCGGAAUUCCAGGUGUAGCGGUGAAAUGCGUAGAUAUCUGGAGGAACACCGGCGGCGAAGGCGGCACUCUGGGCCGGUACUGACGCUGAGGAGCGAAAGCGUGGGUAGCAAACAGG
RNAcentral lists this ribosomal RNA (253 nucleotides) under uncultured bacterium. RNAcentral describes it as "partial 16S ribosomal RNA". It matches the Rfam family "Bacterial small subunit ribosomal RNA", at positions 524 to 776 of the family's 1533-position model. The record is from RNAcentral.